Molecule: ribosomal RNA, 507 nt
Filed under: Candida albicans
Lineage: Eukaryota; Fungi; Ascomycota; Pichiomycetes; Serinales; Debaryomycetaceae
Description: eukaryotic LSU rRNA
Rfam family: 5.8S ribosomal RNA (bases 141-294)
Source: RNAcentral
GGCUCUGACUGCUAUUGCACCACAUGUGUUUUUCUUUGAAACAAACUUGCUUUGGCGGUGGGCCCAGCCUGCCGCCAGAGGUCUAAACUUACAACCAAUUUUUUAUCAACUUGUCACACCAGAUUAUUACUAAUAGUCAAAACUUUCAACAACGGAUCUCUUGGUUCUCGCAUCGAUGAAGAACGCAGCGAAAUGCGAUACGUAAUAUGAAUUGCAGAUAUUCGUGAAUCAUCGAAUCUUUGAACGCACAUUGCGCCCUCUGGUAUUCCGGAGGGCAUGCCUGUUUGAGCGUCGUUUCUCCCUCAAACCGCUGGGUUUGGUGUUGAGCAAUACGACUUGGGUUUGCUUGAAAGACGGUAGUGGUAAGGCGGGAUCGCUUUGACAAUGGCUUAGGUCUAACCAAAAACAUUGCUUGCGGCGGCAACGUCUACCACGUAUAUCUUCAAACUUUGACCUCAAAUCAGGUAGGACUACCCGCUGAACUUAAGCAUAUCAAAAGCGGAGGAA